ACCUAGAAAGGAGGUGGAUUUUCAUUGUUUUUGGUUAUCUUAUCUCCGUAUCUUGAUGACUGAUGGCAAUUCCCUUUUUUAGAUUAAGCAUUCAAAAUUUGUUAUGUUUGGGUAGUGUGUUUGGAUGUACAUUUGCUGUCUUUAUUGGAGAUAGAGGUUUUAGGACUUAGGUUUUUAAUUGUGGAAAGGACUAUUUUUCAAAUGAUUGAGCUUGGUGUUAAACUUGGAAUGUGAUUGCUUCUCUAGUAUUUUGUUUCAGUUUUAGAUUAUGAUAUGUGGGAUUAUCAUAUAUUUUGCUAGUGUCUGAGCUUUUUUUAAGCUUUGUUUCCGUACUCGUAGGAACCAUUUCUGCCUGUUUAUAGCUGCAAACUAGUCUCUAUUUUCUUUCCAGAUAUUUGUUAUUCUUGCAUUUCAAUCUGCAAAUCUAACACAAACUUUUACGUGUCCAAAUAAACAUGGAAUAUGCAUUCCAGCAUUCUAUGGUGGUCUAUAACAUGAAAUUCUUAUAACCAUUUUUCAUAAGAUUAAAAUAAUAUAAUUGAAUGGGAAGAAGAACUUCCUUAUACAAGUGGUAUAAAAUAGUGGAGAAUGGAAUAAAUACGAUUCUGUACUAAAGACACUUAGUCUUGUAUACAAAUUGGAAUCUUGUCGGUGCACCCAACGGUGAAGGGGGUUCAAAAUUUAAAGAAAUAAAUACAAGUAAAGCCAAGGGAAUUCAACAUAUAUUAUAAAUGCAUAGAAAAAUUAUUUAUGCAUUCAUCCGUACCCCUUUGCCCUAGCUCCGCCUGUGGGUGCACUAAAAGAGACAAGGACAAAGAGGCUUUCCUCAAAAAAUGUAAAAUAUCAUUUUUUUAUCCUUCAAAGGCACUCCUAUUUUUAUCUUCCAUACAAUCCACAUGGGUGCUAGUGGAGUAAUAUCCCACUUCUUUAGUCUUCUCCUCAUUCUUCUGAAUGUUCAGUUGAAUAGUGCCGCCUUCUUGGUGCAUUGCAUCACCUAUUGAAGUGCAAACUAACAAACCAUUUAAUGAUUUCCCAUGCGUGAGAUACUACUUGACAAUGUAAAAAGAAGUGGUUCAUGUCUUCACCAAACUCUUCCAUAAGACCAAUUGGUAUAUGCAAUUUCUCUUCUUCCUUAAGUUUUUAGUUGUUAAAUCACUCCCCUUGCUGAAAGUCUUAAGAAACUUGUGUCUAAGUUGGUGGAUGCCCAACAAAUGACAUUCAUGAAAGGUACACGACUUACGGAUGCCAUUUUAAUAGCAAAUGAAUAUGUGGAUGUGAGGAAGAUUUCCAAUGUCCCUGAAAUUCUAUGCAAGUUAGAUAUAGAAAAGGCUUAUGAUAACUUAAAUUGAGGAUUCCUAUGGAGGACAUGGGAGAGGCUGCGGUUUGAUAGCAGACUAAUGGAUAAAGUUUUGUUCUGGUACAAUAAAGUUCUCUGUCCUGAUAAUGGUUCCUUCUUGUCUCCCUUCUUUAGCUAAUGAUGAAGCAAAUCCCUAAAGUCAAAGUAGUCCAUGAAAGCAUCUAUUUUUUCCGUUCAAGAAAUUGCUUAUGUAAAGAUGGGGUGAGUCCCAUGUUAACUAAUCGAUUACGAUAAAUUGGAUGGCUCACCCUCUGGUUUCUUCUCUUCUAAGAGAGGAUUGAGACAAGGGAGCCCCCUAUACCCUUUUCUCUUCAUUCUGUCCAUGAAGGGACUCAGUGAUAAGUUGAGAACAUCCAAGUAUAAUGAUAUGCUCAGGUGAUUCAAGGUUAAUCCUGGAGACAAUCAAGGGCUAUCAAUUUCUCACCUUCCAUAUACAGAUGAUACACUAGUGUUUUGUGAUGCAGAGAGUGAUCAAUUGAAAUAAUUGAGAGAUAUUUUAUUCUGUUUGAAGCUAUUGUGGGACUUCACAUCAAUUGGGGGAAGAGUUUUGUUUAUCCAGUAAAUGAGGUGCCAAGAAUCAAUAUUUUGGCCAACAUAUAGGGUGGCGGAAUAGGAGAACUGCCUACUACUUAUCUUGGUAUGCCCUUGGUGCUAAGAGUAAAUCAAAGUUUUGGAAUGUUGUACUGGAGAAAUGUGAAAAGAAACUUGUUAAUUGGAAGAGUAGAUUGACUUUAAUUAACAGUGUAUUAGAUGCCAUGCCAACUUCUAUAUGAUGUCCUUAUUCCCUAUGCCAGUGAAUGUUAUCAAGAAACUGGAUGCAAUUAGAAGGGAUUUUCUCUGGCAAUUGUGAGACCAAGAAGAUAUACUUGGUAAAAUGGGAUACAGGUAUAACCACAAGAAGGAAGGUGGAAUAGGAAUAAAGAACCCGAGGACAAAAUCAUAGCCUCCCACUGAAAUGGCUUUGGAGAUUUGCAACAGAUGGACAUUCAUCGUAGAAAGAAACUAUCUUGACAAGGUAUGGGAUGGAAGAGCACUUGAUUACUGUUAGCACCCCUUUAGUCUACCAACGGUUUACACAUGGGAGAUUUAAGGAAAUUAGAAAGUAGAUUACUUUAGCUUAUAAGUUAUUUUACUACAGCUUUUAAGUAUUUAUGUUUUUAUUUUCUGUGUAGCAGUUAUUGCAGUAAGGAGGUUACUCCUCCACUUUCUCAUUCAGUUGUAGUAGGCAGUAGGCAGUUACUUUCUUUGUUUCAGUGUUUAUUUUGGGAAUU
This is a long non-coding RNA of Solanum tuberosum (potato), 2628 nucleotides long. RefSeq lists it as uncharacterized. The transcript is spliced from 3 exons. Lineage: Eukaryota; Viridiplantae; Streptophyta; Magnoliopsida; Solanales; Solanaceae. The record is from RefSeq and is a predicted model, not a curated record.